CCUACGGGAGGCAGCAGUGGGGAAUAUUGCACAAUGGACGAAAGUCUGAUGCAGCAACGCCGCGUGGAGGAUGACACAUUUCGGUGCGUAAACUCCUUUUAUAUGAGAAGAUAAUGACGGUAUCAUAUGAAUAAGCACCGGCUAACUCCGUGCCAGCAGCCGCGG
This 165-nucleotide ribosomal RNA is filed under the name uncultured Campylobacterota bacterium. RNAcentral describes it as "uncultured Epsilonproteobacteria bacterium partial 16S ribosomal RNA". It matches the Rfam family "Bacterial small subunit ribosomal RNA", at positions 338 to 520 of the family's 1533-position model. The record is from RNAcentral. Lineage: Bacteria; Pseudomonadati; Campylobacterota.